GCUGACGUGAGUCUGAAGAUGAGACACAAAAUGGUUAGCUAUUCCGUACAGCACAUGGCCAGCAGCCUCCUGCUACAAUAUUUACGUCCUAUUCCAUUGAGGUGGCACUCUCAGCUCACGUGACCCGAAUGCAGUUCUCACUCCACCAAGAGCACAGCUGAAUGCAAUCUGCAUUGGCAGCUCUGCACAUGCUCCGACUGGCCCUGUGACUCCUCACUCACCCAUUGAGAUUUCUGUUGGUUUUAAAGCGACGUUCCAGCUGCUAAAGCUCCGUGAGCUGCAGCAUUUUCCUGGCUCUCAUCCAAAGCAGGUGAUCCCUAGACCUGGAUACUUUUUGCCAUUCUCAUGGUAAAUGGUGAGACAAGCUACCAUGGAUUUCAG
This 381-nucleotide long non-coding RNA is filed under the name Fukomys damarensis (Damara mole-rat). RNAcentral describes it as "lncRNA (ENSFDAG00000033357.1)". Lineage: Eukaryota; Metazoa; Chordata; Mammalia; Rodentia; Bathyergidae. The record is from RNAcentral.